RNAcentral lists this ribosomal RNA (467 nucleotides) under uncultured bacterium. RNAcentral describes it as "partial 16S ribosomal RNA". It matches the Rfam family "Bacterial small subunit ribosomal RNA", at positions 28 to 507 of the family's 1533-position model. The record is from RNAcentral.
GACGAACGCUGGCGGCGUGCUUAACACAUGCAAGUCGAACGGAAAGGCCCUGCUUUUGUGGGGUGCUCGAGUGGCGAACGGGUGAGUAACACGUGAGUAACCUGCCCUUGACUUUGGGAUAACUUCAGGAAACUGGGGCUAAUACCGGAUAGGAGCUCCUGCUGCAUGGUGGGGGUUGGAAAGUUUCGGCGGUUGGGGAUGGACUCGCGGCUUAUCAGCUUGUUGGUGGGGUAGUGGCUUACCAAGGCUUUGACGGGUAGCCGGCCUGAGAGGGUGACCGGCCCCAUGGGAACUGAGAUACGGCCCAGACGCCUACGGGAGGAAGCGGUGGGAAUAUUGCACAAUGGGCGGAAGCCUGAUGCAGCAACGCCGCGUGCGGGAUGACGGCCUUCGGGUUGUAAACCGCUUUCGCCUGUGACGAAGCGUGAGUGACGGUAAUGGGUAAAGAAGCACCGGCUAACUACGUG